GCAAUCUGAAGUUCCGAGGCACUGUUCAUAAACUCAAAGAGUCAGUGUCAUGUAUGAUUCUGCAACUUCAACCAGACAAAAAGUCCCAAAAUGGACUUCAAGUACCAAAACCAAUUCAUACUCCAUAUGGUUGUUUAACCAUUAGAAUUCUUCAGUAAGAGGAAAAAAAAAUCCCCAAUCCAUUUACUUAACUAGUCUGAAUACAGCCAGCAAAGAUUGCUUCUCAUAAUUUCUAGCAAAAAAUUUGCAAUCUAUCUUAAAUGUCUCAUUCUGAUGUUUCAUUAUCUGUACCAAGUACCAACCCUCCAGUUUUGAAUUAAUUAAAGCCUUGAACUAUUAUAAACAUCAAAAUCAAGUACAAUAUGUAACUCCAAAUUAAUGUCUGAUUCUAUUCUCCAAAAAGGAAAAAAAAAUCCAUCUUUUAGACGUAAAACUAAGAAAAACCUAUAACUUCAACAAAUAAAUUUUAAGCAAUAACAUUUACUAUAAACAUUAGAAAAAUAAAAAACACUCCUAUCAGUUGGCAUUAUAAGUGUGCAUAUGCUAUUAAUAUAAUAGGUCAGUAACUAAGAUGCUACAAACUUUACCCCAAGAAUUGUAGGUACAUGUGCAGAAAAUCAUGCGCAUCAGCACAUGCAUGUGCAUGUGCAUGUGCAGAUAAAGAAGAUUUUCUACUCAACGAACAAACAUACCCAAUGCAUCAGGGACAGAAACACUCCUACAUCCUAUGGUUUCACCUUGCCAUUAUAUAUGUUGAAAUCAUUUUUCCUAAAACAUGUUAAAAGAAACAAACAAAAAAUAAAAUAACAGCGCCCACAGCAUUACUUGACUACACAAAAAGAUAACACAAUUUGACACAAGGUAUCAAUUUCUGACCAUCAUAGAAUAAGGCAUGAAAAACUUUCUUGAAGUGGUUGAAGAUACCAAGUUAUUUCCCAACAAUCAACUCUUAGCCAAGUAUUCACAGGAGAAAAGGAAUCAAAUAGAGUUCCCACCACUCGAUUAUCUAAGAACAGCUCCAUUACAUAAAAUCGAUCAGAUAAAGGCACCAGGAAUACAAGUUAAAUUACAUGCAAUUGAUUUAAAAAUUAAAAAGAGAAAAGCAGAUAUUUCUUAAUCACCCAAAAAGCAAACAACUGAAACCAUCAAAUUCUUCAAAAUUAAAAAGCUCCGGAUAGAUUCCAAUAUAGAACGCAACAAAAAACCCCCAAAUAAAAAUUAAAAAAAAAAUCAACACAGUCCCACAACAGAUAAACAUUAAAAGGAUACAACAACUCACAUCCUCGAGCAGAUUUUACGAGUUAACAAACAAAAAGCAGAAGAUCAGAGUCAGGAUAAGAAAAACCCAAAAAGGGUAUGUUGGUAUACGAUCAAGGGACUCAC
This 1383-nucleotide unclassified non-coding RNA is filed under the name Hevea brasiliensis (rubber tree). The record is from RNAcentral. Lineage: Eukaryota; Viridiplantae; Streptophyta; Magnoliopsida; Malpighiales; Euphorbiaceae.